AGUCGUAACAAGGUAUCCGUAGGUGAACCUGCGGAUGGAUCAUUACAGAAGUUAUUAUUAUAAACUUCAAAGUCGUGUGAACCGUGUGUGCGUAUAUGUUCGGUCGGUGGUUUAGUGGGGUUUUUUUUAAGCCACACGCCACCCACCGCCGGCAUAUAUUUACCAAACAACAAAAACGUAUAAUAAUUAUCAUGUCUGAUAUCAUAUAUAUAUAUAUAAUGGAGUAAGAAUCCUUUUUAAUUAAAAGACAACUUUUAGCAACGGAUCUCUUGGCUCUC
This 278-nucleotide unclassified non-coding RNA is filed under the name fungal sp. RNAcentral's name for it is "partial internal transcribed spacer region". The stretch from base 1 to 45 matches the Rfam family "Eukaryotic small subunit ribosomal RNA", at positions 1787 to 1831 of the family's 1831-position model. The record is from RNAcentral. Lineage: Eukaryota; Fungi.